GUGAAUCAUCGAGUCUUUGAACGCACCUUGCGCUCCUUGGCAUUCCGAGGAGCAUGCCUGUUUGAGUGUCAUGUCAAUACUCAAAUCCAUGCCUUUGUGUAUGGGUUUGGACUUGAAGGGUUUGCUGGCUUUUCGGAGCUGGCUCCUUUUAAAUGCAUUAGCUGGUUUAUGAGCCUGUUUUUUCAGUGUUGUAAUUUUUUUAAUACGCGCUGUGAUGAACUAGUUCAACUUGCCGCUGAUAGACAACAUUUUUCUAUGUCUCUGACCUCAAAUCAGGUAGGAUUACCCGCUGAACUUAAGCAUAUCAAUAAGGCGAGG
RNAcentral lists this ribosomal RNA (318 nucleotides) under uncultured fungus. Its description in RNAcentral is "eukaryotic LSU rRNA". The stretch from base 1 to 71 matches the Rfam family "5.8S ribosomal RNA", at positions 84 to 154 of the family's 154-position model. The record is from RNAcentral. Lineage: Eukaryota; Fungi.